RNAcentral lists this ribosomal RNA (429 nucleotides) under Bacillota bacterium. RNAcentral's name for it is "Firmicutes bacterium partial 16S ribosomal RNA". It matches the Rfam family "Bacterial small subunit ribosomal RNA", at positions 355 to 776 of the family's 1533-position model. Lineage: Bacteria; Bacillati; Bacillota. The record is from RNAcentral.
UGGGGAAUUUUGGACAAUGGGCGAAAGCCUGAUCCAGCAAUGCCGCGUGUGUGAAGAAGGCCUUCGGGUUGUAAAGCACUUUUGUCCGGAAAGAAAUGGCUCUGGUUAAUACCUGGGGUCGAUGACGGUACCGGAAGAAUAAGGAUCGGCUAACUACGUGCCAGCAGCCGCGGUAAUACGUAGGGUCCAAGCGUUAAUCGGAAUUACUGGGCGUAAAGCGUGCGCAGGCGGUUGUGCAAGACCGAUGUGAAAUCCCCGAGCUUAACUUGGGAAUUGCAUUGGUGACUGCACGGCUAGAGUGUGUCAGAGGGGGGUAGAAUUCCACGUGUAGCAGUGAAAUGCGUAGAGAUGUGGAGGAAUACCGAUGGCGAAGGCAGCCCCCUGGGAUAACACUGACGCUCAUGCACGAAAGCGUGGGGAGCAAACAGG